Non-coding RNA from Schistosoma curassoni, 45 nucleotides. NCBI's taxonomy places the organism in Eukaryota, Metazoa, Platyhelminthes, Trematoda, Strigeidida, Schistosomatidae. The record is from Rfam.
GCACUGCUGAGGAGUUCAAAACAGGACGAAAGGGCCGACCAGUAC